GACGUAGGGUGCAAGCGUUGUCCGGAUUUAUUGGGCGUAAAGAGUUCGUAGGCGGUUACUUAAGUCUGGUGUUAAAGACUGGAGCUCAACUCCAGCAUGGCAUUGGAUACUGGGUGGCUAGAGUGUGGUAGAGGUCUCGGGAAUUCCAGGUGUAGCGGUGAAAUGCGUAGAUAUCUGGAGGAACACCGGCGGCGAAAGCGCGAGACUGGGCCAUAACUGACGCUGAGGAACGAAAGCCAGGGGAGCGAAA
RNAcentral lists this ribosomal RNA (250 nucleotides) under uncultured bacterium. RNAcentral describes it as "partial 16S ribosomal RNA". It matches the Rfam family "Bacterial small subunit ribosomal RNA", at positions 524 to 773 of the family's 1533-position model. The record is from RNAcentral.